UGGGCAGAUUAUUGUAUUCGACUGUAUUCACGACGUGAAAUAGGGGAUUAUACUGUUUUUAAACGGAAAGUGAAUCAAUUAACAUACUCAACAAACUCA
RNAcentral lists this microRNA precursor (99 nucleotides) under Nicotiana sylvestris (wood tobacco). RNAcentral describes it as "MIR6152 microRNA precursor family". It matches the Rfam family "MIR6152 microRNA precursor family". Lineage: Eukaryota; Viridiplantae; Streptophyta; Magnoliopsida; Solanales; Solanaceae. The record is from Rfam by way of RNAcentral.